AUACGGAGGAUCCGAGCGUUAUCCGGAUUUAUUGGGUUUAAAGGGUGCGCAGGCGGCCAUUUAAGUCAGCGGUUAAAUCGUGGGGCUCAACCCCAUUCUGCCGUUGAUACUGGGUGGCUUGAUUGCGGUCGAGGUUGGCGGAAUUCGUUGUGUAGCGGUGAAAUGCAUAGAUAUGACGAAGAACACCGAUUGCGUAGGCAGCUGACCAGACCGCAAAUGACGCUCAUGCACGAAAGUGCGGGGAUCGAACAGGAUUAGAUACCCUGGUAGUCCGCACAGUAAACGAUAAUGACUAACCUUCGGCGAUAGACCGCCGGUGGCCAAGCGAAAGCGAUAAGUCAUCCACCUGGGGAGUACGACCGCAAGGUUGAAACUCAAAUGAAUUGACGGGG
Molecule: ribosomal RNA, 392 nt
Filed under: uncultured bacterium
Lineage: Bacteria
Description: partial 16S ribosomal RNA
Rfam family: Bacterial small subunit ribosomal RNA
Source: RNAcentral